GGAGUUUCUAAAGUGCAUCUUCUAGUGAAGUGAUUAUGUAUUAUCAGAUACCUGCAUAAUACAUAAUUUAUUCUUCAAUUUACUAUGUGGCCCAAGUAAGCCAUGUCACAUUUUUGCCCUGAACAAACUAGUGUUAGUACUGUUUAUCAAGUGUGGAGAGUUUUUGCAGUACUUCUUUUACCAGUUAUAUGUAAACUCUUCUUCAGUUAGCAAUACCAGAAAGUUUAAAUACAUGUGAGUUUAACUACAUAUGUUACAUGCUUAUUAUGGUAUCUUGCUGUUUUAUUUCCUUGAGUUGAUGUAUCACUCUUUACUUAGAAGACAUAAGUGAUGUAUUCCAUUUGUAUGUUUAUACACAUAGGACAGAGCACAAAAUUUAUGAAGAGGACAUAUUGGAAUUAGACCAAUAAUACAAAUUUCUGAUACAGAAAUCAUGCUGAUCUUCAAAAUCUUGCUAGUUUCAUUACUGGGUGUUGGCAUCAGCAGCCAGAGAACAACUUCUGCACCAAGUCGAGGUGCAUGCAGGUUAUGGUGCCAGUUACCAUGCUUUUAUCCUUGGCAGACAGUGCAGUACUACUGCUGUGGCACUCAUGUGAAAACUGGCAGGUGUCCUCCAGUUCGGCCCAUCUGCCCACGAACAUUAAUGUCAUCUGUAGUCAGAGGCAGUACAAUCUUGUCUCCCUCAAUUUGUCAGAGUGAUCAACAGUGUUCAGGCACUGACAAGUGUUGCUAUGA
Cryptotermes secundus is the source of this 735-nucleotide long non-coding RNA. RefSeq lists it as uncharacterized. The transcript is spliced from 3 exons. The record is from RefSeq and is a predicted model, not a curated record. NCBI's taxonomy places the organism in Eukaryota, Metazoa, Arthropoda, Insecta, Blattodea, Kalotermitidae.